UAUGUGAUCGUCUCUCGCAUAUCAAUAAGCGGAGGAAAAGAAACUAACAAGGAUUCCCCUAGUAACGGCGAGUGAAGCGGGAAGAGCUCAAAUUUGAAAUCUUAAAGGGUUUCCCUUUACGAAUUGUAGUUUAAAGAAGUGUUUUCUGUUGAGGUUUUGGUAAAAGUUCUUUGGAAUAGGACAUCAUAGAGGGUGAGAAUCCCGUAUUUGACCUUUACUUUCAACUUUGUGAUACACUUUCAAAGAGUCGGAUUGUUUGGGAAUGCAGUCCAAAAUGGGUGGUAAAUUUCAUCUAAAGCUAAAUAUUGGCGAGAGACCGAUAGCGAACAAGUACCGUGAGGGAAGGAUGAAAAGAACUUUGAAAAGAGAGUUAAACAGUACGCGAAAUUGUCAAAAGGGAAGCGUUUGACACCAGUGUUGUUUUUCUGAAAAUCAAUUAAAGAACUGUUUAUGCUAAGCUGUUUAGACUUUAUCAGCUAUCUGUUUAGUUUUGAGCUUUUCUUUAAUGCACUUUUCAGUUAACAAGUCAACAUCAAUUUCUUUUGCUGUAAAAAAGCUUGAGGAAGGUGGCUUGAGAUUCGUCUUAAGUGUUUAUAGCCUCUUGCCUAUGCAGUCGGAGAGAUUGAGGUCUGCAGCGUAGAUCCUUCGGGGCUAAAUGCAUUUGUGCUAAGUUAUAGCAUUUUAUAGACAACUUGUUGACUGUGAUUUGUCUUGUAGCUUACUCGCUUAUGUUAUUUUACCUACGCUUAGGAUGUUGAGCGCAUGUCUCUCUCU
This 774-nucleotide ribosomal RNA is filed under the name uncultured Neocallimastigales. RNAcentral's name for it is "partial large subunit ribosomal RNA". It matches the Rfam family "Eukaryotic large subunit ribosomal RNA", at positions 24 to 616 of the family's 3401-position model. Lineage: Eukaryota; Fungi; Neocallimastigomycota; Neocallimastigomycetes; Neocallimastigales. The record is from RNAcentral.